RNAcentral lists this transfer RNA (82 nucleotides) under Tortispora caseinolytica NRRL Y-17796. It matches the Rfam family "tRNA". From Rfam's summary of the family: Transfer RNA (tRNA) molecules are approximately 80 nucleotides in length. Their secondary structure includes four short double-helical elements and three loops (D, anti-codon, and T loops). The record is from Rfam by way of RNAcentral. Lineage: Eukaryota; Fungi; Ascomycota; Trigonopsidomycetes; Trigonopsidales; Trigonopsidaceae.
UUCCUCGUGGCCCAAUGGCAAGGCGUUCGCCUACGAUUGCGUCACUAGCGAAAGAUUCCAGGUUCGACCCCUGGCGGGGAAG